Phascolarctos cinereus (koala) is the source of this 3163-nucleotide long non-coding RNA. RefSeq lists it as uncharacterized. Lineage: Eukaryota; Metazoa; Chordata; Mammalia; Diprotodontia; Phascolarctidae. The record is from RefSeq and is a predicted model, not a curated record.
CUUUGAGGAGAGGAGGGGGAGGGGGGAGGAAGAAGAGUUAAUGGAACUGGGUUGCGAAGAGGGGCGGGGAAGGAAGAGAGGAGGGAUACCAGUGGUGCACCGCAUCUCCAGUGAGAGGCAGCGAGAAGAGUGAGAAAGGUGGCUUAGAGCCCUGGCUCGGGUGGUUUCACUUGCUUAGGUAUAGAGGCAGAGGGGAAACUAAGGGAGGGCCGGCGGUGCAGCGAGGAGAAACCCUCAGGAGUGGUUGCUGAGGCCUGGUUGACAUAAAUGGAGGUUCUGCUGAAAUUUGAAAACUUCUGCCCUGUGGGCCCCAUCUUUGACCUGGAUGCUUGGUACAGCAGUGAACCCUUUGUAUUCCAGUCCCAGAUUUUGAGGCCAGGCCUGGUCAUUUUCUAGGAACGCAGCCCUGGACCAGUCUACUUUGCAGCUGGAACACAGAGACUAAGUAUUGGAAAAGACACCUGUCCAAGGAUACCCUGUAGCCCAGCUCAUCAAACUCCUUGAUGUUUCUUUUGGUCAGCUACGAAAUUCCAGAUUUCAUCUUGACCAAGAGAAGUAGAUUUCAAAUGCAGCUGAAACUGAACCUUGUCCUCUUUUCCCAGACCCACAAAUUGCUUGAGACUGACCACACAUUAUCACUCCCAGCCUCUGACUAUUUUGUAAAUGUCCUAGACUCUCCUCCCUGGGAUUCCCAAGCUUUCUCGAUGAAGUAUCAGUUGUUGUGUAAGUGAAACAACUUAUCUGGUGAACCUAUGGAAUGUCUCAAACUGCUGCACCUGUAGCUCCUCUCCCUUUGCCGUAUUACUUUAUAAGAACCCUAUCCACAGCCUACUCUUUGGGCUCCCCAGCACUUGCUGCUGUGUGGAACCCCAGUUGCAAUUUCCUUGCCUUUUGCUAUAUUGGCUACUUUCUCUUUAAUUCAGGUUGACAAAAAUAACACAAUAAUAAUAGGAAACUUUAAUAUCCCCUUCUCAAUUUUGGUAAGUCAAAUAGCAAAAAGAAAAAUGUGGAUCUGAACAGAUUGCUAGAGUAUCUAGAACCAAAAGACUUAUGGCAUCUUCUAAAUGGUUUGCAAAAGAAUAUAGGUAUUUCUUAGUACCAUAUGGAAAUUUUAUAAAAAAAAAACCUGUAUGAUGGCACAGAGAUAUUGCAAACAAAUAUAAAAAAGCAGAAAUAAUAAAUACAUCCUUUACAGAUCAUAAUAUAAUUAAAAGCCAUUGUUUCAGGGACCAUGUACAAAAUACAGAGACCCAAAUAUAAACAUAGCAAUGAAAUUCUAAAUAAUGAGUGGGUCAGGAAACAAAUCAUAGAAACAAUAAUUAUGUGAAAGAAAUAAUAAUGAUGAAGCAAUAUGCCAAAAUUUGAGGGAUAUAGCUAAAGCCAACAUUGGAGUAAAAUACAUAUCCAUACAAACAUCACCAAUAUGGAAAAAGAGAAGAUUAGUAAACUGAACACUAACUUAAAAAUUAGAAAGCCAAGAAACAAAGAAAACUAAAAUAAGCAGAAAAGAGAAGAUAUUAAAAAUUAAAAGAGGAAUAGAUAAGUCGGAAAUAAGAAAUACAUUAAAUGAUGAAUAAAACUAAACACUGAUUCUCUGAAAAGAUGAAUAAAGUUAAUCAAUUUUAGCGAAUCUGAUUAAAAAGAAGGGGCAGAAAAUUAUCAACAACAACUUAAUAUGAAGUUAUAUGCUAACAAAACUGAGAACAAACAAGAAGCAGAGGAAUACUUUAAAAAAUGUAAAAUAUCUAAACUGUCACAAGACCAGAGAGAGAUCUUAUAUGACCUAAUCUCAGAAAAGGCGAUACAUCUAGCUACAAAGGAAUUACCAAGACAGGAGAAAAACCUAACAACUCCUGGUACUGAUGGAUUCACAGGAGAAUUCUGUCAAAUUUUUAAAGAAAAAAUUAUUGUAAACUAUUCUCAAAAACUCAAAAAGGAAGCACCCUCCCAGAAUCUUUUUAUGAGACAAAUAUAGUCCUAAUACCUGAGGAUGGAAAGAUACAACACAGAAGGAAAACUGUAAGCUAAUAUCAUUCAUCAAUAUUGACUCAAAAAUUUUAAACAUGACUUCAGGUGCCAAGAUGGUACAGUGAGGAAGAAACCCUCUGAAGCUGUUCCAGAUUCUUCUCCAAGCAACUAGAAAACUGCCUCAGAAUUGAUCUAGGAGCAGGGAAGCUGAAGGUCUGUCUCACUGGGAGAGGGGAGCAAGGUGGAAGAGCAGCAGCAGCCCCAGGCAGCCUCACAGCAGGGGGCCUGAAGCAAGGCUCCAAGCCUGGGGCCAUCCAUCCUUAAGGCUCCACCCUCCUGCAAACCAGCCCCACAUCAAGACCCCACUCCUGCAACCCCAUCCCCAGCUCAAGCCACCAGCAAGGCCUUGACCCCAUUGCUGACUGGUCCUAAAGCCCCACAACAUGAUGGGCCAACAAGACUUCACCCUGAGCCUUACCAGCAGAGAGGCCCUGUUCCCAUAGCAACCCAGUAGCAGGGCCCCACCCUUGGAGCCAAUUAGCAAUAAGCUCCCUUCUCCAGGGCCAGCUACCAGAAAAACUGUUACCAUAGCAACCCAGCAGCAAGUCCCCACCCUAGGGGCAGGCAAGCAGCUAAACCCUACACCCAGAGGAGUCCAACAGGAAGGCCCGACCCCCCUAAUACAAGUCAGAAGGGAAGUCUACCCUCCAGAGAAAGCAAAAAGCUAAGCCCUGAAGCCCAGUGAAAGCCAGCAGUAAGACCUAGAGCCCCAGCCUAAAAAAAGCUUGGGACAGUGCAAGAUCAGAGUCUUCUCACAUGAAAACACCAAGUCACAAAAAAGGCAGAAAAAUGAGUUAAAAACAAAGAAGAGCUUCACUAUAGAAAGUUACUAUGGUAAUAGGGAUGAUGAUCAAAGCAUAAACUUAGAAAAGGACAAGAGUAUCAAAAUGGCUAUGUGUGAAGCCUCAAAGAAAAAUGUAAUUUGGUCUCUGGACCAAAAAAGAAUUCCUGGAAGAGCUUAAAAAGGAUUUUAAAAAGCAAGUUAUAGAAGCAGAAGAAAAACUGGCAAAGAAAUGAGAAUAAUGCAAGCAAAUCGUGAAAGAAGAGUCAAUAACAUGGGAAAAAAUAUGCAAAAAUUUAUCAAGGAAAAUAACCCCCUAAAAAUAGAAUUGGCCAAAUGGAAAAGAAAGUAUGA